Molecule: RNase P RNA, 361 nt
Filed under: Panacibacter ginsenosidivorans
Lineage: Bacteria; Pseudomonadati; Bacteroidota; Chitinophagia; Chitinophagales; Chitinophagaceae
Description: Bacterial RNase P class A
Rfam family: Bacterial RNase P class A
About the family: Ribonuclease P (RNase P) is a ubiquitous endoribonuclease, found in archaea, bacteria and eukarya as well as chloroplasts and mitochondria. Its best characterised activity is the generation of mature 5'-ends of tRNAs by cleaving the 5'-leader elements of precursor-tRNAs.
Source: Rfam by way of RNAcentral
CUACAAUCCCGAACUAUCGCCUUGUGCAAGCAGGGAGGAAAGUCCGGACAGCAUAGGGCAACCCACCGGUGAAGAGCCGGGUGUUUCUUUUGAAGCAACAGACAGUGCCACAGAAAAUAACCGCCUUAGGGUAAGGGUGAAAACGUAAGGUAAGAGCUUACGAUGUAUUGCAGCGAUGCAACAUAUGGGUAAACCUUGGGGGCUGUAAUGCCACGUAUAGGUUCGUCUGAAAGCGGCCCGCUUUCGAUUCCACCGGUGAGUGGACACGAACCAGGGUAGGCAGCAACAGGUAAACAGCAAUGUUUAUCGCAGAUAAAUGAUAGUGUAAAAACAGAAUCCGGCUUACGAGGUUUGUAGUUUU